This 239-nucleotide ribosomal RNA is filed under the name uncultured bacterium. Its description in RNAcentral is "partial 16S ribosomal RNA". It matches the Rfam family "Bacterial small subunit ribosomal RNA", at positions 94 to 334 of the family's 1533-position model. The record is from RNAcentral.
AGCGGCGGACGGGUGAGUAACGCGUGGGUAACCUGCCUCAUACAGGGGGAUAACAGUUAGAAAUGACUGCUAAUACCGCAUAAGACCACAGCACCGCAUGGUGCGGGGUAAAAACUCCGGUGGUAUGAGAUGGACCCGCGUCUGAUUAGCUAGUUGGUAAGGUAACGGCUUACCAAGGCGACGAUCAGUAGCCGACCUGAGAGGGUGACCGGCCACAUUGGGACUGAGACACGGCCCAA